GGAAUAUUGCGCAAUGGGGGCAACCCUGACGCAGCGACGCCGCGUGGGUGAGGAAGGCUUUCGGGUCGUAAAACCCUGUCAGAAGGGAAGAAAUGCUUAUGGGUUAAUACCUUGUAAGCUUGACGGUACCUUCAAAGGAAGCACCGGCUAACUCCGUGCCAGCAGCCGCGGUAAUACGGAGGGUGCAAGCGUUGUUCGGAAUCACUGGGCGUAAAGGGCGCGUAGGCGGCUUGGCAAGUCAGAUGUGAAAGCCCACGGCUUAACCGUGGAAGUGCAUUUGAAACUGCUUGGCUUGAGUAUCAGAGGGGAAAGUGGAAUUCCCGGUGUAGAGGUGAAAUUCGUAGAUAUCGGGAGGAAUACCGGUGGCGAAGGCGACUUUCUGGCUGAAUACUGACGCUGAGGCGCGAAAGCGUGGGGAGCAAACAGGAUUA
This 431-nucleotide ribosomal RNA is filed under the name uncultured Desulfobulbaceae bacterium. Its description in RNAcentral is "bacterial SSU rRNA". It matches the Rfam family "Bacterial small subunit ribosomal RNA", at positions 358 to 780 of the family's 1533-position model. Lineage: Bacteria; Pseudomonadati; Thermodesulfobacteriota; Desulfobulbia; Desulfobulbales; Desulfobulbaceae. The record is from RNAcentral.